RNAcentral lists this unclassified non-coding RNA (342 nucleotides) under soil metagenome. RNAcentral's name for it is "partial contains 5.8S ribosomal RNA, internal transcribed spacer 2, and large subunit ribosomal RNA". The stretch from base 1 to 120 matches the Rfam family "5.8S ribosomal RNA", at positions 35 to 154 of the family's 154-position model. The record is from RNAcentral.
GAUGAAGAACGUAGCGAAAUGCGAUAAGUAGUGUGAAUUGCAGAAUUCAGUGAAUCAUCGAAUCUUUGAACGCACAUUGCGCCUCCUGGUAUUCCGGGAGGCAUGUCUGUUCGAGCGUCAUCAAAAACCUCAACCCAUGAUUUAUUGUGAGUUGGUUCUGCAUUGGACUCCUUGUGGGUCCUUUGCGAAAUCCAAUGGCGAAGAGCCACGCAACCAAAGCGUAGUAUAACUAUUUCGUUAUGGAAGCGUGGGUGCCUCUGCCGUAACCCCCAAUUUCUUAGUUUUUGACCUCGGAUCAGGUAGGGAUACCCGCUGAACUUAAGCAUAUCAAUAAGCGGAGGA